RNAcentral lists this ribosomal RNA (237 nucleotides) under Triticum aestivum (bread wheat). Its description in RNAcentral is "partial small subunit ribosomal RNA". The record is from RNAcentral. Lineage: Eukaryota; Viridiplantae; Streptophyta; Magnoliopsida; Poales; Poaceae.
AUGACCCACGCUCCUUUAGGCUCUUUAAAUUCCGUGGGUGGCGUAGCUAUCGAGAUCAAUGCGGUUAAUUAUCUCUCUCCUAGAAGUUGGUUAUCAACUUCUCAUUUUGUUCUAGGAUUCUUCUUUUUUGUGGGCCAUUUAUGGCAUGCAGGAAGAGCCCGAGCUGCCGUAGCAGGUUUUGAAAAGGGAAUCGAUCGUGAUUUGGAACCUGUUCUUUACAUGAACCCUCUUAACUAA